Callorhinus ursinus (northern fur seal) is the source of this 214-nucleotide non-coding RNA. Lineage: Eukaryota; Metazoa; Chordata; Mammalia; Carnivora; Otariidae. The record is from RefSeq and is a predicted model, not a curated record.
GUUCCGGAGAGGCAGUAAGGUGCCAACAAGAGGGACCGAGCUAGUCAUGGCCACGACUGCUGUGACCCCAGCCUGUGCCACUCUCUCAGGCAUUUUCGACAACCUCAGCUCCUGGCCUCAAAAGGAGCAUGUACCUUCCUCUCUCCAAUCUGACGUGUCUACACCUAAGAGAUUCAGCUGCACUUGGAUAUGCUUACAGCAAGCUCCCUGGGGA